This is a long non-coding RNA of Saccostrea cuccullata (small rock oyster), 610 nucleotides long. RefSeq lists it as uncharacterized. Lineage: Eukaryota; Metazoa; Mollusca; Bivalvia; Ostreida; Ostreidae. The transcript has 4 exons. The record is from RefSeq and is a predicted model, not a curated record.
UACAGUUUGGGUUAUUUGAUACAGAACUUUAAUAAUGGAAACCUAAAAUGGGAAGAAUGAUCAAUAAGAGGGUCCAGAGUCCAGGAACCAACAAUGAGAGAAAGGGUUCAGACAGUUUUCCUUUCCAAAAGAAGCAUGCAUUUACUGACAACAGAGGUAACGAAGCACGGACAAACCACAGUUAAUUAUGCUACUAAUGACAGAAAAUACAGAACAUCUCAGUCCCAUUUUCAACGAAAGACCGCCAUGUUGGAGGAUUAACUUCAAGAGUAGCGAUUGACUGAAACCUGUGUUGCUGUUAUUUCACAGUAUUUAUCUUUUUGUGAUUUUUUUAAACAAGUUUUAUACAUUUUUCAUCUAAUUAAUCGUCUAAAUAUGUAUGUAAUAUUUUUGUAUUCAUUUGAUUAUUUGUUAUUGUUUUAAGUAUUUCAUUUUGUAAAAUGGAAAACAACCUUGCCCUCUACCAUGUCUUAACGUACUGUAUUAGGGUUAUGUUUAUUAAUGAAUCAUCCUAACCAAACUUGCUCUAAGCAAACUUGCACAUAUGUUUAGCUUUGUUUUAUUGUUAGGUGUAUGGUCAAAUAUAAAUCAUAUAAACCAAACUUGUUAG